UAGGGAAUAUUGGUAAUGUGCGAAAGCGCGAACCAGCAACGCCGCGUGCACGAUGAAGGCCUUCGGGUUGUAAAGUGCUUUUAGAGAGGAUGAGGAAGGACAGUACUUUCUGAAUAAGCCUCGGCUAACUACGUGCCAGCAGCCGCGGUAAAACGUAGGAGGCUAGCGUUAUCCGGAUUUACUGGGCGUAAAGCGCGUGCAGGUGGUUUCGUAAGUUGGAUGUGAAAGCUCCUGGCUUAACUGGGAGAGGUCGUUCAAAACUGCGAGGCUUGAGAGUGGUAGAGGGAGGUGGAAUUCCGGGUGUAGUGGUGAAAUGCGUAGAUAUCCGGAGGAACACCAGUGGCGAAAGCGGCCUCCUGGACCAUUUCUGACACUCAGACGCGAAAGCUAAGGU
This 394-nucleotide ribosomal RNA is filed under the name uncultured bacterium. RNAcentral's name for it is "bacterial SSU rRNA". It matches the Rfam family "Bacterial small subunit ribosomal RNA", at positions 355 to 766 of the family's 1533-position model. The record is from RNAcentral.